This 73-nucleotide transfer RNA is filed under the name Candidatus Nealsonbacteria bacterium CG03_land_8_20_14_0_80_36_12. RNAcentral's name for it is "tRNA-Lys". It matches the Rfam family "tRNA". Rfam says of the family: Transfer RNA (tRNA) molecules are approximately 80 nucleotides in length. Lineage: Bacteria; Candidatus Nealsoniibacteriota. The record is from RNAcentral.
GCCCCGCUAGCUCAAUUGGAAGAGCAGGAAGCUCUUAACUUCAAGGUUGUAGGUCCGAGUCCUACGCGGGGCA